ACAAAGAGAGUAGCGCACUGGUGAGUAACACGUGGGAACGUACCUUGAAGUGGGGAAGUAGCGUCUGGAAACGGACGAUAAUACCGCAUAAUCCCUGAGGGGGAAAGAUUUAUCGCUUUAAGAACGGCCCGCGGAAGAUUAGGUAGUUGGUGGGGUAAAGGCCUACCAAGCCUACGAUCUAUAGCUGGUCUGAGAGGACGAUCAGCCACAUUGGAACUGAGACACGGUCCAAACUCCUACGGGAGGCAGCAG
This 252-nucleotide ribosomal RNA is filed under the name uncultured bacterium. RNAcentral's name for it is "partial 16S ribosomal RNA". It matches the Rfam family "Bacterial small subunit ribosomal RNA", at positions 86 to 354 of the family's 1533-position model. The record is from RNAcentral.